UACGUAGGGUGCAAGCGUUGUUCGGAAUUACUGGGCGUAAAGGGCUCGUAGGCGGCCAACUAAGUCCGACGUGAAAUCCCCAGGCUUAACCUGGGAACUGCGUCGGAUACUGGAUGGCUUGAAUUCGGGAGAGGAUGCAGAAUUCCAGGUGUAGCGGUGAAAUGCGUAGAUAUCUGGAGGAAUACCGGUGGCGAAGGCGGCAUCCUGGACCGACAUUGACGCUGAGGAGCGAAAGCCAGGAGGGACAAACGGG
RNAcentral lists this ribosomal RNA (253 nucleotides) under uncultured bacterium. RNAcentral's name for it is "partial 16S ribosomal RNA". It matches the Rfam family "Bacterial small subunit ribosomal RNA", at positions 524 to 776 of the family's 1533-position model. The record is from RNAcentral.